AAGCUUGCGCACUCUCUAUAUUAACUCCCAAGAAGACCGCUGAUAAUUAACAUGCAAAAUGAGAUAAGAGAAACGCUGCAUGAUUAUUCAGAGAUCGCCGUGUUGUUUGUUUUCUGAGGUUAUCAUUGGAAUGGGUGGAAUUGGAAAUAUUAUUAAAGAUACAGGAAAGGAAAAGAUAUAGAAAGGAAGGCGACAAGGAGGUGUUCGAGGGAUGUG
This is a long non-coding RNA of Zingiber officinale, 216 nucleotides long. RefSeq lists it as uncharacterized. The record is from RefSeq and is a predicted model, not a curated record. The transcript is spliced from 3 exons. NCBI's taxonomy places the organism in Eukaryota, Viridiplantae, Streptophyta, Magnoliopsida, Zingiberales, Zingiberaceae.